UAGGUUGACCCCAGGGACUCCACCUAUAUUUCAUUUAAUUAGUUAUAAUUUGGCCCAUACAUGAAUAUAUAUUGUUUUAGUGUGGGGAUCUCAACCGUUUCCAAGUUCUCAAACAGGAGGGUUGGGGGGACCACAGGGACUUCCCCUAUAUUUUAUUUUAUUUGUUAUAUUGUCCCAUACAUGAGUAUAUAUGGUUUAGGGGUAAGGAUCUUGACCAUUU
Molecule: long non-coding RNA, 220 nt
Filed under: Mytilus galloprovincialis (Mediterranean mussel)
Lineage: Eukaryota; Metazoa; Mollusca; Bivalvia; Mytilida; Mytilidae
Source: RNAcentral